RNAcentral lists this ribosomal RNA (483 nucleotides) under uncultured bacterium. RNAcentral's name for it is "partial 16S ribosomal RNA". It matches the Rfam family "Bacterial small subunit ribosomal RNA", at positions 28 to 507 of the family's 1533-position model. The record is from RNAcentral.
GACGAACGCUGGCGGCGUGCUUAACACAUGCAAGUCGAACGCUGAAGCUCAGCUUUUGUUGGGUGGAUGAGUGGCGAACGGGUGAGUAACACGUGAGUAACCUGCCCCCUUCUUUGGGAUAACGCCCGGAAACGGGUGCUAAUACUGGAUAUUCACUGGUCUUCGCAUGGGGGUUGGUGGAAAGGGUUUUUCUGGUGGGGGAUGGGCUCGCGGCCUAUCAGCUUGUUGGUGGGGUGAUGGCCUACCAAGGCUUUGACGGGUAGCCGGCCUGAGAGGGUGACCGGUCACAUUGGGACUGAGAUACGGCCCAGACUCCUACGGGAGGCAGCAGUGGGGAAUAUUGCACAAUGGGCGCAAGCCUGAUGCAGCGACGCCGCGUGAGGGAUGGAGGCCUUCGGGUUGUGAACCUCUUUCGCUCAUGGUCAAGCCGCAACAAUGGUUGUGGUGAGGGUAGUGGGUAAAGUAGCGCCGGCUAACUACGUG